Tribolium madens (black flour beetle) is the source of this 724-nucleotide long non-coding RNA. RefSeq lists it as uncharacterized. The record is from RefSeq and is a predicted model, not a curated record. The transcript is spliced from 2 exons. Lineage: Eukaryota; Metazoa; Arthropoda; Insecta; Coleoptera; Tenebrionidae.
GCACUUUUAAACUUGUCGACGUUCCCUCUUCUUGCUUUUUUAAUUUAGGUUAGGUUGUUCAAUUUGAAUUUUGAAUUAACAAUUUUUGGGUCGAAUAUAGCAAAAACAAUGAACACAAAGGAGAAUUUGAAAUGGCAAAACCUAUACGACGCACUGCUCAAGAAGUGUUUGAAAGACAAUAAGGAUGAUGACACAGAAUAAAUACCCUUUUAAUAGUCUUCCCGAAGAUGUGCGUCCCCUCAAACAAUAUUCCAAUCGCGUAAAAACUUCAACUCUUUCAUCGGAACAGAAAGUACUUGUUGAGAAAUUUGAAGACACAUUGAAAAGUUGUCUUCAUGAAAUGUCUAUAAGGCGAGAAAAAGCAAAAAUUCUGUGUCUUGAGGAUUUCAAGAGGCUUGAUUUAGCAUUUAAGGUUGAACUAAGAAGACUGUAUUACGAAGUAGGGUCAGCGGAAAUUGAGGAAUACAUAAUAAACCUUUGUGUUAUUCCUGAUCAAGAAAUUAUAGAUUUCAAAAUAAAAUACAAAGUAAUCUCAAAGAAUGUCUUUUACGUCAAGCGGGAUUAAAGGAGAAUACAUUUAAAUUCAGAAGGUGGCUGAUCAAAACUUUGUUAUAACGAACUUCUUUAAAAAUGAAGGCGAUUUUUAUUUAUUUAUUUAUUUGGAACAAUUUGAUUUGCUUUUUUGUUAACUAGUAAUAAUUACGAAUAAAACCGUUUAUACAUA